This 317-nucleotide ribosomal RNA is filed under the name uncultured Pseudomonadota bacterium. RNAcentral's name for it is "bacterial SSU rRNA". It matches the Rfam family "Bacterial small subunit ribosomal RNA", at positions 28 to 351 of the family's 1533-position model. The record is from RNAcentral. Lineage: Bacteria; Pseudomonadati; Pseudomonadota.
GAUGAACGCUGGCGGCAUGCCUCAUACAUGCAAGUCGAACGACACGCCGUCUUCGGACGGAAGGUGAGUGGCGUCCGGGUGAGUAACACGUAGGAACCUACCUUUAGUUUGGGAUAACUUUGGGAAACUAAGGCUAAUACCGGAUACGCUUUGCAGCUUGGCGCUGCAAAGGAAGAUUUAUCGCUAAAAGAUGGGCCCGCGGUGGAUUAGCUUGUUGGUGGGGUAAAGGCUUACCAAGGCAACGAUCCAUAGCUGGUCUGAGAGGAUGAUCAGCCACACUGGGACUGAGAUACGGCCCAGACUCCUACGGGAGGCAG